UGUUAUAUCAAUGGUUUUUACCUUUUAUUAAAUAGAUUAGAUUAUUUUGACUAGACCAGGUUACUGGGAUUUUGGCUUAUUUUUUAAAGGUUACCAUUAUUGAUCAAGGUAAAGUUGUUUGUGUGUUGGUUAGGCUUCAAUGUUCACAUUGAUUCUUGUCUUGUUUUUACUUCUGCUAUUGUUGACUCUCUCGACAGGAAAAUCAUGAGGUUUUGUUUCUGGAUUUUUCAUUAUCACAUCAUGCAUUAAUACAGGAUCAAUUGUGAUUAUAACUGAUUAUGAUUAUAAAAUGAAUAUCUUAUGAUAUAUUGGUUGCAUGUUUGGUUGAGAUGUUGUUAAAGCCUGAUUAUGUCGUUGAUGUUUUUAAGGUUACCCAUGAAUUUGUCAGUUAUAUCUUUUCCAGUGUUUAUCAUGUUUAGUUAUUUUCAGGUAACUUUUAAUCAGUUUUAGUUAAAUUGAAUACAAAUUAGAUUUGUUUUAUUGAUUGAAAAAUGGUGAAAUUGCUGUUCUUACGAUUAAUUGGAGGUUGGUUGAUUCGCAAAUGUAAACAAACCAGAAUUUAAGGAAAACCUUAUCACAAUGGGAAAUUGUUUUUCAUUAAAAAUUGUAUAAUUACUGAACAGUUCAUCAGCUAUUAACAUUAUUGACUUGACAAGAUGUAAAUGUAUACUAUUAAUCUAAUUAUCUAACGUCAUUUAAAGUAAAAAGCCUUGGAAAUUGGUUGGUAAAGCUGAUGAAUAUUAAUGUCUCAACUGCUAAAAAAAGGAAACCAGGAUUGGGAAAAAUUGGACAAUACUUAUAUUUGACAACAGUAGUUAAUGGUUGGUUUUGGUGACCUAAAAAUAACAAUUGAUUAAAAAAUACUGGAAAAGCGCAGGAUAAAUGUUGCUCAGUUAAAGUGUAUCAAAAAAUAUUGAUUAUCAACUGUGGCAUUAAAUUAUAUUUUUAGAGGUAAAUUAUUCAACCUAAAAGUAAAUCUCAUAUAGGACCAGUUACUCUUUACUCUGGUAAUGUCAUUCAAUACCUUAAUUUGGAUUUAACUGGACAAGGACAAUAUUAUACAGAAAUGUUGGUUAAUUGGAUUGAAUUGCUUCAGCAAUGUGUUUUAUGGUUACCUAUUUUUUUUAAUCAAGACUAAAGAUUAGGUAUUUUACUGUUA
Tetranychus urticae (two-spotted spider mite) is the source of this 1159-nucleotide long non-coding RNA. RefSeq lists it as uncharacterized. Lineage: Eukaryota; Metazoa; Arthropoda; Arachnida; Trombidiformes; Tetranychidae. The record is from RefSeq and is a predicted model, not a curated record.